This 538-nucleotide ribosomal RNA is filed under the name uncultured archaeon. RNAcentral describes it as "bacterial SSU rRNA". It matches the Rfam family "Archaeal small subunit ribosomal RNA", at positions 461 to 997 of the family's 1478-position model. The record is from RNAcentral.
GCCGCCGCGGUAACACCGGCGGCCCGAGUGGUGAUCGUGAUUAUUGGGUCUAAAGGGUCCGUAGCCGGUUUGGUCAGUCCUCCGGGAAAUCUGAUAGCUCAACUAUUAGGCUUUCGGGGGAUACUGCCAGACUUGGAACCGGGAGAGGUAAGAGGUACUACAGGGGUAGGAGUGAAAUCUUGUAAUCCCUGUGGGACCACCUGUGGCGAAGGCGUCUUACCAGAACGGGUUCGACGGUGAGGGACGAAAGCUGGGGGCACGAACCGGAUUAGAUACCCGGGUAGUCCCAGCCGUAAACGAUGCUCGCUAGGUGUCAGGCAUGGCGCGACCGUGUCUGGUGCCGCAGGGAAGCCGUGAAGCGAGCCACCUGGGAAGUACGGCCGCAAGGCUGAAACUUAAAGGAAUUGGCGGGGGAGCACAACAACGGGUGGAAGCCUGCGGUUUAAUUGGACUCAACGCCGGACAACUCACCGGGGGCGACAGCAAUAUGUAGGCCAAGCUGAAGACUUUGCCUGAAUCGCUGAGGAGUGGUGCAUGG